Molecule: long non-coding RNA, 2525 nt
Organism: Megalobrama amblycephala (Wuchang bream)
Lineage: Eukaryota; Metazoa; Chordata; Actinopteri; Cypriniformes; Xenocyprididae
Exons: 3
Source: RefSeq, a predicted model, not a curated record
GUAUUGGCUUAGUAAUUGUACAAAGUAACAAUGCUGAUGAUUUCAUGGAUGCAGUGUGUUUCUAGCCAUUUUCUAUCAGAAUUUAAUGAGGGCUUCUAUUGGUUUCCACUACAUAUUUUGAUCUGCAAAUGUAUUAACCAAAGCAAUACAAUUCCCUAUAACAAUUAGAAUUUAUAAGAUUUUAUAGCAGAGAAUGAAGUGUUUAUCAGUUCUGCAUUGAUUUCAAGGUUAUGGACGGUGCACAUUUCCAUUCCCCGGAGUAAAGGUGAGAAGCAUUUUUUAAGAUAAAGGUCGAGGUGGUAUUUUGGUCUUUAGGGCGUACCUGUCACGUUCCAGCAACGUACCACUAAAACGUCGCCACAACGAAUAUGGGAAUCACAAAGUUACGUCGCUGGAACGUUAUUCGGGACGUCGUUGCAACUAAUAUGAGCCGAUCCAGUUACGUUUUCACAACGUGCCAGUUUGGUCGUUGAGACGUUACUGUCACGUUCCAGCGACGUACCGCUAUAACGUCGCCACGACGAAUAUGGGAAUCACAAAGUUGUGUCGCUGGAACGUUAUUCGGGACGUCGUUGCAACUAAUAUGAGCCGAUCCAGUUACGUUUUUACAACGUGCCCGUUUGGUUGUUGAGACUGUCACGUUCCAGCGACGUACCGCCAUAACGUCGCCACGACGAAUAUGGGAAACACACUGGCUGCGUCCGAAACCGAAACUUCUCUAUUUAGUAGGGGAGAAGCAGUAGGCGAGCGAAUAAGUAUGUCAGAAGCAAAAAGAGUAGGCGAAAAUUACCUAGGUGACGUAAUAAUUCUCGCGAGAUUCGGCCGUGCGCCUACUUAAAGUGCGUCCGAAACCGCCUACUUACCUACUAUAUAAUAGGGGGAAAGCAGUAGGCGAGCGAAUAAGUAUGUCAGAAACCAAGUAAUCAUAAAUAAGUAGUCGAGAAGUUCCCGGAUGGCCUACUGCUUCCGCCCAGAUUCUGAAGUGUUCCUCGAUGGAUACUUUUCUAUCCCAGGAGGCCACGGGAGAGGAUACGUCAUAUCAAACACGGAGGAGAAGAGCGGCGCGGAUGCUGUCAAAUGUGAGUAUUGAAAACAAAAAAACGGUUCUUGUGUUAAAGUCACAUUUGUUGAACUACUGUAGAGUAAACUGCUGAAUGUGUAAAGAUGCUAGACAGUAUAGUUGUGAUUUUACAGUAAAAAUGUUUUAUUUUGUAUAGAGCUCUAGUAAACACAUAACUUAAUUCUCCGAAGAGGAUACAUCUUAAAGAUGCUUACUAAAUGUUUAUUUAACAUCUGACAGGAAAAUAUUUAGAAUAUAUAAAGUAUUAUGACUUAUGCAUGAUGGAUUAUGUUCCAUGAGUGAUGUGUAUGUGCUAUUAUGUAGAAUUCACUGUUGUCAAAACUGUUUACAUUACAUGAAUGCAAGUAAUGUAAAUAAACAAAUGUACACUUAACUAGACAGACAUAAGUUAUCUAUUUUAUUUGUCCGUUAGUACUUUUAAUAAAACAAGGAACAUUUGUGUUGGAUAAAAAGUGAGUUAAAACAAAUCUUCAACUACCUCAAAAUUUAAGGAUUUGUAGAUUUGAGCACAUGAAUCUCAGUGGAAACUUGAAUCUUGUCUGAUGUUACAGGGACAGAAAUUAAUACAAAGUCUAUUUAAAUCUUAAGUUGUAGUUUAUUUUAAUUAUUGUAAUUUCAAACAGAGUUAUUACAGUACUUUUCUGAUUCUUGAUGUCAGUGCAUUUGUUGCAGAGCUUUGUGUUGGAGCAGGACCUACAAGGAAAGAUGACAGUGGCAUUUGUGAAAAAAAAAAAAAAAAAAAGGAAAACCUGAAACAAAAAUAUAAAGAUCAUUUUGUUACUUCUAAUACAGAAAUCAAAGAACAUUGUACUGGUAAAAUGACUGCUUUUGUAUUAUGAUUGUGUAUUUUUGUAGGAUGUGAAAUGUCCUCAGACGGGUGUGAGCACUGAGGAUGGAGAGCCACACUCCAUCACUCCUCCUGCCCUUACUGCCUCAUCUGACCUGAUGUUGAUGUGAUUUCUUCAUCCUCAGUGAGCCAAGAGCCAGCGAGAGCAUCUAGACAAAGACCAAACAGGAUGAUCCCGCUGGAGUAACCUGGAGUAAAGCGUCUUGAUCAAGGACACACUGGAGGAGACGCUGCAGAGAUCAAACCAGCAAACCUUCUGCUGACCAGCUCAGCGGUUUAGACCACUACACCACAAAAUCAUGCUGAUGGAGAGCACAUGAAUGUUUGCAGCAGACACAGCAGAGCCAGAUUGUCCCGCACAUCUUCUCCCACUCCUGCUUCAAGCUUGUGGGGUUCAGAGGAUCAUCAUCAUGGUCUUCCUCAUCCUCUGGAUCAACGAUGUCCCCAGCAGUGAGGGACAUGAUGGAUGAAGGUGUUCAUCAGCUGCUUCAUCAGAAUAAAGCUGCAGAAUUGGCACAGCUGUGUGAGAUGGCAGCAGGACUGUAAAUACCUGAUUGUUAGAUCAAUAAAUUUGAAUAAAGCUUUGUUUCAUGUGUU